ACGGCAGCACGGGGGCAACCCUGGUGGCGAGUGGCGAACGGGUGAGUAAAGCAUCGGAACGUGCCCUGAAGUGGGGGAUAACGUAGCGAAAGUUACGCUAAUACCGCAUAUUCUGUGAGCAGGAAAGCAGGGGAUCGCAAGACCUUGUGCUUUAGGAGCGGCCGAUGUCGGAUUAGCUAGUUGGUGAGGUAAAGGCUCACCAAGGCGACGAUCCGUAGCGGGUCUGAGAGGAUGAUCCGCCACACUGGGACUGAGACACGGCCCAGACUCCUACGGGAGGCAGCAGUGGGGAAUUUUGGACAAUGGGCGCAAGCCUGAUCCAGCCAUGCCGCGUGAGUGAAGAAGGCCUUCGGGUUGUAAAGCUCUUUCGGCGGGGAAGAAAUUGCACUCUCUAAUACAGGGUGUAGGUGACGGUACCCGCAUAAGAAGCACCGGCUAACUACGUGCCAGCAGCCGCGGUAAU
RNAcentral lists this ribosomal RNA (463 nucleotides) under uncultured bacterium. RNAcentral's name for it is "bacterial SSU rRNA". It matches the Rfam family "Bacterial small subunit ribosomal RNA", at positions 66 to 524 of the family's 1533-position model. The record is from RNAcentral.